CAAAACAUAGUUUAUAUAGAACAAAGUCUUUGGGUGACUUAAGAACAUUCGUUUUGA
Molecule: transfer RNA, 57 nt
Filed under: Hygrobates taniguchii
Lineage: Eukaryota; Metazoa; Arthropoda; Arachnida; Trombidiformes; Hygrobatidae
Description: tRNA-Pro
Source: RNAcentral